UACGAAGGGCCCGAGCGUUAAUCGGAAUCACUGGGCUUAAAGGGUGCGUAGGCGGAAGGGUAAGUACCUUGUGAAAUCCCAGCGCUCAACGCUGGAACUGCGGGGUAUACUGCUUUUCUUGAGGUCGACAGAGGUUGCUGGAACUCUAGGUGUAGCGGUGAAAUGCGUAGAUAUCUAGGGGAACGCCAAAGGUGAAGACAGGCAACUGGGUCGAUUCUGACGCUGAGGCACGAAAGCGUGGGGAGCAAACAGG
This 253-nucleotide ribosomal RNA is filed under the name uncultured bacterium. Its description in RNAcentral is "partial 16S ribosomal RNA". It matches the Rfam family "Bacterial small subunit ribosomal RNA", at positions 524 to 776 of the family's 1533-position model. The record is from RNAcentral.